Molecule: ribosomal RNA, 489 nt
Filed under: uncultured bacterium
Lineage: Bacteria
Description: bacterial SSU rRNA
Rfam family: Bacterial small subunit ribosomal RNA
Source: RNAcentral
GAUGAACGCUAGCGGCAGGCCUAAUACAUGCAAGACGAACGGUAAGUUGAGUAGCAAUACUUAGCCAAGAGUGUCGUACGGGUGCGUAACACGUAUGCAACCUACCCUAUACAGGAGGAUAGCCUAGGGAAACCUGGAUUAACCCUUCAUAGUAUUAUUGGAUGGCAUCAUUUGAUAAUUAAAACUGAGGUGGUAUAGGAUGGGCAUGCGUCUGAUUAGUUAGUUGGCGGGGUAAUGGCCCACCAAGACGAUGAUCAGUAGGGGUUCUGAGAGGAAGAUCCCCCACACUGGCACUGAGAUACGGGCCAGACUCCUACGGGAGCAGCAGUAGGAAUAUUGGGUCAAUGGAUGCAAGUCUGAACCAGCCAUGCCGCGUGCAGGAAGAUGGCCUUCUGGGUUGUAAACUGCUUUUGCCAGGGGAUAAAAUUUCCAUGCGUGGAAAACUGAGGUACCUGGUGAAUAAGCACGGCUAACUACGUGCCAGCAGCC